This 301-nucleotide ribosomal RNA is filed under the name uncultured bacterium. RNAcentral describes it as "partial 16S ribosomal RNA". It matches the Rfam family "Bacterial small subunit ribosomal RNA", at positions 509 to 807 of the family's 1533-position model. The record is from RNAcentral.
CAGCCGCCACGGUAAUACAGAGGGUGCGAGCGUUAAUCGGAUUUACUGGGCGUAAAGCGUGUGUAGGUUGUUGUUCAAGUCAGUUGUGAAAUCCCUGGGCUCAACCUGGGAACUGCUUCUGAGACUGAACGACUAGAGUACGGUAGAGGGUGGUGGAAUUUCCGGUGUAGCGGUGAAAUGCGUAGAUAUCGGAAGGAACAUCAAUGGCGAAGGCAGCCACCUGGGCCUGUACUGACACUGAGACACGAAAGCGUGGGGAUCAAACAGGAUUAGAUACCCGAGUAGUCCCUGUCUCUUAUAC